GUGGGGCCGGGGCACGGAGCGGGGGGCCGGGGGCUAUGGGGCCGUGGGGCCGGGGCCGUGGGGCUGGGCCCCCCGGCGGCAGGCAGGCCCGAGGCGGCGGCAGCUGCCCGGCGAAAAGCGUCACGUCCCUGUGGUUGCGGAACUGGGCGCCGGUCCGUUCUCUGUCCGCAGCCGUCGUGAUUGGCGGGUGGCUGGUCGGACAGGCGUCUGAGGGCCCCUGUGUGCCGCGGAGGGCCGGAAGGCUGACGGCACUCCGCCAAAAACCCUGCUGGCUGUGCCCCGAAGACAGGAACCACAGUGCAGAUGUGGUCCUUCUUGCCUUCAGUUUUAAUCUGGCCUUUUUCAGGUCAGAUAGUUUUUCAGCCAGUGUCACAGAGGAAAAGAAACAGAACUCCAAAGGGAAGCUGCCAUUACCUUAUCUAUGAAGAGGCUACCACAUAUCCACAAUACAUUACACCAGCUGAGGCAAGUUCAGUCUUUGUUGUGAGCUAUGUAUUAGUACAGUUUCUUCUGAAUAAUUUACAACAUCGCUGUGCAAACUGGGAUAGUUUUAGGACCCCUAGAAAUGUCUGGUUUCAAAAUAGUACUUCUAUUGGUAAAACUGUUCGGUGUGAAACACUGUAUUAAAGCAAAGCUGAAGCUGAGCUUUUGAAAUCACAAAAGGCAGGAAAUGCAGUUGAAGUUGCCAUGGAAACCUUAACUCUACACCUUUAGGUAGGUAGUAUGCUAUGGUUUUAAUUAGUUCCUCUUUGUACAACUCCAUAUAGGUGUUCUCCUUUUAUUAUCUGAAUUCUAAUUACAUCAAAUGCUAUUUAUAAUACAUAUUAAUUGCAGUGGCUACUCAGCAAACACUAGGAAUCAGAUUAUUAGGUGUUAGCUGUGGCUUACUGUAUCAUAGAAUCAUAGAGUGGCAGGUUGGAAAGGACCUCAAAGAUCAUCUGGUCCAACGUUUCUAGGUACUACUAUAGUUUAUAUGAGAUGGCUCAGCACCCUGUCAAGCUGAGACUUAAAACUGUGCAACGUGGGGGAAUCUGCGCCUUCCCUUGGGAGACUAUUCCAAUGUUUGACUGUCCUCAUGGUGAAACAUUUACCUCUUGUGACCUGAGAGAGCUGAAGUUUGUGCUUCUAAAAUCUAAACCCUUUGUCUUGGAACUAACUAUCAUAUUCUUGCACUUGUAACAUACUAAGGUGGCUGUAUGAUGUGCAGCUAGAAAAGAACAUGGCUAACUUAUUGGCCAUGGUAUUAAAAAGUGCUUUCUCUGAGGUAGAAUUGUACAGUAUGGCCAUUGCAUCACACAUGAGCAAAAUCUUAGAAAACACAGGCAAUUUACAGGAGGUAAAUUUAAAAUGGUACUUCAUGGAAUUUUUACCAGGAUGAUAAUAUGCUUCCAGCAAACCAUGAAAGUACUUCAUUAGUGUUUUAGAAAUAUGCAUUGCUCCCACCAGUACUUAAUCUUGUAGUUCACAGGACAUAGCUCUUUCUCUUCCAGUUUCCUUUCCAGCAGCUUUUGAGCAGUAUGAAUUUGCAUUAGCAUACAAACCUGAAAUUCUCUGGCCCAAUUCAGACUUCCUGUAUAUGCCUGCUAAAGGGGCAGAUUUAUAUGGAGGGUUUUUUUUCUUUUAAUUAGCCAUUGGUUAAAUUUUGCAAGGAAUGCCUGGUUUUUGAACAUCAGGAACCUCAAGUUGAGAGACCUGGCAGCAAGCUAGCAUCUUCAGUAUGGUAUCUUGAAAGGGGUAUCAAAUUGUAUGGUAAAAAAAAAAAAGUCCUCUGUCCAUGACAGCAGUUCAUAUAACUUCUAGAAGAAUCUGUUUCAGGAAAGACCACGCUUGCAACUAAAAUUUUCAGUACGUUCAUUGAAGUUUGGAAGAUUGCAGUCAAAAUAGUAUAAAUAAAGGAAAGCACUGUGAGAAAGAUGUUAAAGUCAGCAUCAUUAAUUUUUGUUUCUCAAACUGCUGGUAGCACUUUCAGCAGCACUGUUUCAGUAAUAGUAAAUACAUUUCUAGAAUGUAUAAAUAUUAAAGCAGGUGAACAGAAUGUUAGGGUAAAGUGAAAUCUUUAUAUCUACAGUUUUCAUUGGCAGCUACUCCUAGAAAGCCAAAACACAGGCUUUAAAUGUGAAUGAGACCAUCUCUUACAGCUGGGGUGAGUGGCUGCCUCUCCAAGCCCUUUGCCAGCUUGCUCACCCUGAGGACCUGACAGCCACGUUGAGGCAGGCCACAAGUUUGCCCACGGCAUUCCUGCAUCUGCUAACAGCAGCAAAUUAGUGCUUAGCAUUUCUCCCACCUCUCUUAAAUACUAAAUUCUCUGGCAGGGUCCAUCAUGAUCAUGAUUAAUAUUGAGUGGGGCUGCUGAAGACUGGACACAGCUGGUUCCAGCUGCCUCUGGUGGGUUCUAAGGCACCUACUCAGAGAGCAGCUGAGCCCAGCAGAGAAGCUGGUGGUACCUGUGUGGGGAGGCAGUGAAGGAAAGGCACAAGGGUGCCUUGACUCACAAAGGUGCUUUGGGGGAGGGCAGCUGGUGCAUUUAGGAGAAUGGUUUAUUCAGCCGUAGAACCACAACUGGUGAUAGUUGUAGAAAUUUACUAAAAUCAUUACUUUUCUGUACUAAGUUAGCUGAAUGGGUUACUUUUAAACGAUGUACUUUGUGUCAGUUAUGCCAAACAUCCUGCAGGCUUUUAUAAUACCAAGUCUUCUAAGACCUGUGGCACCAACAGACAACGUUCAUGUUGAUUCUGGACCCACUUGGACAAUCUACCUGCAGGAGACUGGAGACAGGACCAUGAUGGGAAACUCCCCCGUUGGCUGGCCCAACACUGGAUCCAGGACUGGUGACUUUCUAUUAUCUAUCUCUGUGACAUUUUAAUGACUCUCCCUGGAAAGGCCAGGUCUGAGACACAGUUUGGAUCCAGCUGCAACAGGGCUCCACUCUGAGAAGGAGUUUAGAAAGCAAGAGGGUCCGAUCUGAAUCUCCCUGGGUUGCCCUACUUGGGUCAUGACACUUUAUUGGCAUCAUGGACCAGGAUGGGAGACACAACCAUGAUGGGAGACAGGACAAAGAAGACAAAAGACUAGAAUCAAUAAAGACCUCCACAGGCAACCCUUGAGCAUGCAUAAUUACGAAGAUAACUAGUUCCCGGAAAUAAAAUGACUAUGUAAUAGAAUUCUGGGAACUCAUUGGCAUAAAACUGAAUAUGCAUGUUUUUGGUGUAUAUAAGUUGAGGUGUUUUGCUAACUCGUUGGAACACUUACGGUGGAGAGAACCCAAGUACUGCCCCAGUGCUGCAAUAAAGAAUGCCUGCUCAAUAA
Molecule: long non-coding RNA, 3306 nt
Organism: Apus apus (common swift)
Lineage: Eukaryota; Metazoa; Chordata; Aves; Apodiformes; Apodidae
Exons: 2
Source: RefSeq, a predicted model, not a curated record